UAGUUACAUUAAAGUAAAUAAGUUCAAAGGGGCGUAACUCCUAGAAAAAAAAUUGAAUCGCAAUUUCCCGUCGAUAUGCACAACUACAUAGUAUGUCCUUAUUAUCUGAAAAGGUUUCGUGAAAUUCUGUUGUGUGGUUUGAGAGGAGUUGCGAUGACAAACUGUUGCAGUAGUACAUUAAAGUAAAUAAGUUCAAAGGGGCGUAACUCCUAGAAAAAAAAUUGAAUCGCAAUUUCCCGUCGAUAUGCACAACUACAUAGUAUGUCCUUAUUAUCUGAAAAGGUUUCGUGAAAUUCUGUUGUGUGGUUUGAGAGGAGUUGCGAUGACAAGAA
This 332-nucleotide long non-coding RNA is filed under the name Mytilus galloprovincialis (Mediterranean mussel). The record is from RNAcentral. Lineage: Eukaryota; Metazoa; Mollusca; Bivalvia; Mytilida; Mytilidae.